CUGGCUCCGCCGCGUGCUCUAUGGCCGUGACUUGCAGUUUUCCUCUCCGGGAAAAGUUCGUGGACACCUUGAAGCGUCUAGAUCCGGUCCCUCUAGCGGCGCUCCCGCGGCGCGAUGGCAGCAGUGCCCUGAGCCGGCUGACUCGAAUGCCGGCUCGGCAGCUCCUGGUGCGGGCAGCAUGUUGGCGGUGCUAGCACGGGCAGCCCGGAGAGCGACGGUCGUCGGGGACGGCAAUCUUCUCCGACACGGUCAACGCAGUCCACGCACCGGGUCAAUCCUGAGGCACCGGGCUGGACAAAAAGGUACUGUCUGAAGCAUAUCCCGAGCAGCUGCGACUAUUUUUCUGAAUGUUGAUCUGUUGUCCUGCACUGCUAUGUUAGUUGCACAUACGAUUGCAGAACAACCAAAAUGGAAAUGCUUGUUCAUGCGAUGUAGGAAAGGCUAGGCCAGUGGCUAAUUCGAGGUUUGUUUCAUCCAGUGUAGGCCAAUAUAGAUUGUUCUUGCCUGCAAAAUCAGGUUACAUCUAGGGAGUGCGCCGCUGGACAGAGCGUGUGUCCAUCUAGGAUGAGUACCUUAGAGCAGUCAAUUCACAAGUAUGCAGAGGAAUCAACGAAAAGUAUUCUUCAGUCUGAACAAGGACUUAGUUUGGACUCUCUUGAUGAGGCGUAUGACUUCUACAAUUUGUAUUAAUGGGAGAUUGGAUUCAGGAUAAGGUAUGACAAAAGCAGAUUGAACGCCGAGAGGACCAAAUCAAUGCAGGAGAUCGUUUGCGGCUGCUCGAUGCAUACAUAAAUCUGUUUAAGUAUUUGUACUCAGUGCAUAGAUAAAUCCAUUUAAGUAUUUGUGUGAAAAAUUAAAAAUAGUUGAAUUGUCCAUUUAAGUAUUUAUGUGAAAAAUUAAAAAUAGUUGAAUUGUCUUUGGCAGUAACACUGUUUCUUGGCUACGAAGAGAAGAGGUCAAUGAUUGGUGGUGUUGUGAUUGUGAGAACCAAUCUCUCAAUAGAGCAUCAUGCUAGCAAACGGAUCACAGUUCGAGUGUGAGGUCGGCAAUUGGAGCACAUGGGCAUGUUGAGUUGUCAUGUCCUAAGGGUGAUGGAUGUACUUUACCUUGAGGAGAUUCCUUGAAAAUACAUCGUGAAGGGGUGGACGAAGGGUGUGAGGGAUAUUCUGCCCGGACACCUCGUGCAGUACCAGAAAGACCAAUCGGUUAAUAAGUCUUUUACAUGCAGGCAUUCGACUCUUUACUUGAAAGCUAUGAACGUUGUUCGGAUGGGCGACGCGACCGUGGAAGCGUUCUAGCACAUGCCAGCUGGGCUGAAGGCAUUGUUGGUCAAUGGAGCGCCAUUCCUUGAGAUGAGGGAUGGUUUGCUUUGAGGACCGCCAGGGGAAUAUGCUAGCAGGACUGCUUGGUAAUGGAGAAGUUGCAUUCAUCGCAAAUGGGGUUGCAGACCAUGAAUGCAGUGCAGGCCUGUCUUUGAGUGUCAAUGCACUUGGAGGGUUAGCUUGGAGUCUCUAUGGAGAAGCAGAGAGGGGUCGGCAGGCCGAGGAACAGCCGGGAGAAAGCACUGUAUGAGGGACUGAGAUGAGGUUCGGCAGUAUAUGUUGCCGUGAACGUCACAAGAGAACGACUUUGCCCUGACCGGGAAAACCAGGGAGAUGCAAGAAUUGUGGAAUGGAAGGACACCGCCGGAACACGUGCACGCCCACUUGGUGGUCCACAGAAUCAAAUGUGGUAACUACUCCCUCUGUCUCAUAAUAUAAGAGCGUUUCUGACAUUAGUCUAGUGUCAAAAAUGUUCUUAUAUUAUGGGACGGAGGGAGUAGAUUUUAUUUUCUGUAUGUUGUAUUAUGAGGAUUUUCUGGUGUGUUUCAGUGAGCUUUGUUUCACGCUUGUUCCUCCAGUUCGGGAUGCGAGACUAAACUGUGAC
Molecule: long non-coding RNA, 1926 nt
Organism: Triticum aestivum (bread wheat)
Lineage: Eukaryota; Viridiplantae; Streptophyta; Magnoliopsida; Poales; Poaceae
Exons: 3
Source: RefSeq, a predicted model, not a curated record